Molecule: long non-coding RNA, 863 nt
Organism: Rhododendron vialii
Lineage: Eukaryota; Viridiplantae; Streptophyta; Magnoliopsida; Ericales; Ericaceae
Exons: 4
Source: RefSeq, a predicted model, not a curated record
GAAUGAAAAACCCAAGAACAAAAAUGUUGCACAAAAGAUUGAAGAUAUGGAAAAAAUUGAACGGAAUGGACAGAAUUCAACUAAUCUGAAAGAAGAUGUUGUUUCUAAAGUGCUUGGUGCUGAGAGGAAUGGCUAUGUAAGAACAUUUGGAAAAGGAGUCACACUAACAAGAUUAACUAUAUUAUCACAAAUGAAUGGUCAGUUUGUUGAAUUACGUGAAGAAAAUGCUCAGAUGAAGUCUCAAAUGUCAGAUAUGUGAAAUACAGUUGACGAGUUAAAGAAAAGCCAAGUUCAGAAUCUAGCAACAACAGAAGCAACACCAACUACACCCCUUGUUUCUCCCUCAGUAAAAAGUCAUCCACAGAGUAACAUUACCAAGUGCAAGUUGCUAGAUUGGAUGGGGACGGGAGACAUAGUUGCGGAGGGGCGUUGGACUUCAAGUGAUCCACAUUCCAGUGCUCAUUGUGUUCCGAUUGGACCUAAUGCAAUGAAAGUUUGGGUGGAUGUAGCAAAGAAACCUGAAGAGUUUUUGUGGAGGGUUCCAAGUGAUAUGACCAAUAUCGUAGAUGCUGUGGGAAGUACCAUCGCAUGGCCUGCUGACUUUGUUAUUCUGGACUCUUCUUCCCCAGGGUUUAUGGGUUGAUAAAGAAGUGAUGUUGUGACUUUUUGCUGAAGGUAUAGGUAUGAUCUUGCUAGUGUGUUGGUUGUCAUGAUCGCUUGGUUGAUUGAAGCCUUUUUGUUAAUACUUAUGGGAUGGAUAGAUUUUGGAAGGACUAUUUUGGUUGAAGCCUUUUUUUUAAUAUUUUGGUGCCAAGGUUUGAACUCCACUUUUGGGAUACAUAAAUGUUUUGGAAGGCCUUUUU